ACUUUUAAAGGAUAGUAGUAAUCCAUUGGCCUUAGGAGUCAAAAAAU
RNAcentral lists this transfer RNA (47 nucleotides) under Daubentonia madagascariensis (aye-aye). RNAcentral's name for it is "partial tRNA-Leu". The record is from RNAcentral. Lineage: Eukaryota; Metazoa; Chordata; Mammalia; Primates; Daubentoniidae.